GUGAAUCAUCAAAUUUUUGAACGCAAAUUGCACUCUCUUCGGAGAGUAUGCCUGUUUGAGGGUCAGUAUUAAUAAAAAUCGGUGUGUUGCUUCUUUGUGACGCUCCGGAGUUUGGGUCAUCUUAUAUCCUUUAGGUUUUAGGGGGCUUAAAUUUGACUUUUUUUGCGCAUUUUAGAGUUACAUAAAUUCUUUUUUUUAUUCUUCGUUCUUAUUCCUCAAAAUCCUAUUAAAGCCAACCUUAUGU
RNAcentral lists this unclassified non-coding RNA (244 nucleotides) under Rhizophagus sp. (in: glomeromycetes). Its description in RNAcentral is "partial contains 5.8S ribosomal RNA and internal transcribed spacer 2". The stretch from base 1 to 65 matches the Rfam family "5.8S ribosomal RNA", at positions 84 to 154 of the family's 154-position model. The record is from RNAcentral. Lineage: Eukaryota; Fungi; Glomeromycota; Glomeromycetes; Glomerales; Glomeraceae.